AGUGACAGGAGCCACGUCUUAGGGCAAUGACCAGGUGAGGGCUUCAGGCCACCUUGGGGCCCUGAAUCUGGAAUCAAGAGACACGGAGAAUGAGGACCUGUUGUGGGGUCCUCUGUGGACUGAAAACUUUUCUUCACAGCCAGAAAAAUUGCCAGUCGGGAGGGAGAGCGCACUUCGUCUUGGGCCCAACCUCUCUUUGUUCCUGCCCUUCCGGAGUGGCUGGGUGUUCUGCAGCACAGACCUCAGGCAGACUGCGCAGCGGAAUACACGCUAGACUCCGUGUUUAAAGACUCAGGUUGGAGCGGAGCUACUUCUUGGUCAGGUACCUCCCUUGAUGGGACCAACAGCCCAGCAGCAAAGGGAGAAGAGCUCUCUGUUGGGCUUAAAGACCUCUGACCCAGACAAGAAUUCCCAGACCCUUAUCAUCACCCCACCCAUCUCAUUGUUAUGCCCCUUCCCCCACCUUGAGCAACCCGGCGCACUCCUCCCUGCCCCCUACUAGGAAAGGUACAUGGCCCACUCCUCAUGCUGCCUCUAUAGGGGCCUUAUGAUGCUGGAAAAAUGGUACUGGAAUCUGGGCUCUUGUUCACUGUGCUUGAAGAAUGAACUCCUCGAACACACAGGCAGCAAGCAAGCCAAGUCUUUAUUAAAGGAAAGUAGAUAGUUCUCAGGGUUGCUGGGAGGGGGGGAGAAGAGCGCCCACUCUCUAUUAUCCUAUAGGGGUUUUUAUUCCUUAAAGUUGGGGGGGGGUACCAAUGUGGGGUCCAGAGAGAUGUAGUUUUCUCCCAUUGGCCUUAGUUACCUAUAUCAGUACUUGUCCAAUAGGUCCUAGGGAUGGAAAUGUCCUGUAAGUCCCAUAGUUUCUUCACCCUUUUCUUCCCUUAAACUGAGUCACAGGGGAUUAAUGUCCAUCUGUGCAUAGUUGCACUCCCUAUAGUAAACAAGGCCUCGAGGAUGUUACUCCCUGGAGCCCUUAAGCCACAAAUGUUAAUUGAUGGCCAUAUCAAAGAAUGCAUAGAAGCCCAUGCUCCUACACUGACUACCUGAGUUAAUAUUCUGCCUCACUUAUACACCCCCAACCCACCAGCAAGUGCAUCCCAAGAUCCCUCUUUCUCCAACCAAUCAGCAGGUCCUCAGGUGUAUAGCAAGACCUCUCUUCUCCCUGGGUUACACAGACAUGACCACAUGCUUGUUGUUGGCUCUCCCUUAUUGUCAGGAAGUCAUCCCGCUGCUCUUGCAGCAUCUCUCAUCUUACUCUGCUUUCCUCUUCUCCAUGUUCAAUAAACUCUUCUUUCUUUUCACCCC
This 1305-nucleotide long non-coding RNA is filed under the name Sus scrofa (pig). RNAcentral's name for it is "lncRNA (ENSSSCG00040023175.1)". Lineage: Eukaryota; Metazoa; Chordata; Mammalia; Artiodactyla; Suidae. The record is from RNAcentral.